CAUGAGUGUAUAUUAGAAUUGUUGUAGUUAAAAAGCUCGUAGUCGGAAAUUAUUUUUUGAGUCAUUUUAAAAUUCUUCAAUUUUGUUCAGCCUAUGGUUGAGAAAAUUGAAAUUUAAAAUCCAAAAAAUAUUAAAGGAAGAUUAGAAGGAUUUCAAAUUUUUAAUUUGGAGUUCUUUUAUUCAUCCAUUUUACUUUGAAAAAAUUAGAGUGUUCAAAGCAAGUUUUUUUCAGCCAGCCUUGUGUUGCGCGAAAAUACCAAACAACUUUUGAAUAUUUCAGCAUGGGACAAUAAAAUAAGACUUUAUUUAUUUAAUUUUAUUGGUUUUAUAAAUAUCAACUUUAUAAUAAGGUAAUGAUUAAUAUAAUCAAUUUGGGAUAUUUGUAUUUCAUAGCUAGAGGUGAAAUUCUUGGAUUUAUGAAAGACAAACAUAAGCGAAAGCAUUUAUCAGGGAUGUUUUAAUUGA
RNAcentral lists this ribosomal RNA (465 nucleotides) under uncultured eukaryote. Its description in RNAcentral is "partial 18S ribosomal RNA". It matches the Rfam family "Eukaryotic small subunit ribosomal RNA", at positions 592 to 976 of the family's 1831-position model. The record is from RNAcentral.